GUCAGCAGCCGCGGUAACACCGGCGGCCCGAGUGGUGAUCGUGAUAUUGGGUCUAAAGGGUCCGUAGCCGGUUUGGUCAGUCCUCCGGGAAAUCUGGAUAGCUCAACGUAUUAGGCUUUCGGGGGAUACUGCCAGACUUGGAACCGGGAGAGGUAAGAGGUACUACAGGGGUAGGAGUGAAAUCUUGUAAUCCCUGUGGGACCACCUGUGGCGAAGGCGUCUUACCAGAACGGGUUCGACGGUGAGGGACGAAAGCUGGGGGCACGAACCGGAUUAGAUACCCGGGUAGUCCCAGCCGUAAACGAUGCUCGCUAGGUGUCAGGCAUGGCGCGACCGUGUCUGGUGCCGCAGGGAAGCCGUGAAGCGAGCCACCUGGGAAGUACGGCCGCAAGGCUGAAACUUAAAGGAAUUGGCGGGGGAGCACAACAACGGGUGGAGCCUGCGGUUUAAUUGGACUCAACGCCGGACAACUCACCGGGGGCGACAGCAAUAUGUAGGCCAAGCUGAAGACUUUGCCUGAAUCGCUGAGAAGAGGUGCAUGG
This 542-nucleotide ribosomal RNA is filed under the name uncultured archaeon. RNAcentral describes it as "bacterial SSU rRNA". It matches the Rfam family "Archaeal small subunit ribosomal RNA", at positions 457 to 997 of the family's 1478-position model. The record is from RNAcentral.